This 76-nucleotide transfer RNA is filed under the name Fidelibacterota bacterium. RNAcentral's name for it is "Candidatus Marinimicrobia bacterium tRNA-His". It matches the Rfam family "tRNA". Rfam says of the family: Transfer RNA (tRNA) molecules are approximately 80 nucleotides in length. Their secondary structure includes four short double-helical elements and three loops (D, anti-codon, and T loops). Lineage: Bacteria; Pseudomonadati; Fidelibacterota. The record is from RNAcentral.
GUGGGCGUAGCUCAGCUGGUUAGAGCACCUGGUUGUGGCCCAGGAGGUCGUGGGUUCAAGUCCCACCGUUCACCCA